Non-coding RNA from Cordylochernes scorpioides, 77 nucleotides. The record is from the annotation of a GenBank genome assembly. Lineage: Eukaryota; Metazoa; Arthropoda; Arachnida; Pseudoscorpiones; Chernetidae.
UGCAUCGGCCGGGAAUCGAACCCAGGCCACCCGCGUGGCAGGCCACUGAACCACUUCUACCACUGAACCACCGAUGC